Molecule: transfer RNA, 114 nt
Organism: Sphaerobolus stellatus SS14
Lineage: Eukaryota; Fungi; Basidiomycota; Agaricomycetes; Geastrales; Sphaerobolaceae
Rfam family: tRNA
About the family: Transfer RNA (tRNA) molecules are approximately 80 nucleotides in length. Their secondary structure includes four short double-helical elements and three loops (D, anti-codon, and T loops).
Source: Rfam
GGUUGUAUGGGGUAGUGGUUAGCCCAUGAGAUUCUGAACAAUUGUUCCCGAUUCAUAGCGACAGGUAACAAGUUCAAUAUUCUCAUGACCCCGGUUCGAAUCCGGGUACGACCU